GUGCUUGCUUUGGCAGCACAUAUACUGAAACUGGAAUGAUAAAGAGAAGAUUGGCAUGGCCCCUGCACAAAGACGAUAUGCAAAUCCAUGAAGCGUUCCAUUAAAAA
This is a small nuclear RNA of Artibeus jamaicensis (Jamaican fruit-eating bat), 107 nucleotides long. The record is from RefSeq and is a predicted model, not a curated record. Lineage: Eukaryota; Metazoa; Chordata; Mammalia; Chiroptera; Phyllostomidae.